Molecule: ribosomal RNA, 765 nt
Filed under: uncultured Streptococcus sp.
Lineage: Bacteria; Bacillati; Bacillota; Bacilli; Lactobacillales; Streptococcaceae
Description: bacterial SSU rRNA
Rfam family: Bacterial small subunit ribosomal RNA
Source: RNAcentral
GAUGAACGCUGGCGGCGUGCCUAAUACAUGCAAGUAGAACGCUGAAGCUUGGUGCUUGCACCGAGCGGAUGAGUUGCGAACGGGUGAGUAACGCGUAGGUAACCUGCCUCUUAGCGGGGGAUAACUAUUGGAAACGAUAGCUAAUACCGCAUAAAAGACGAUAUCGCAUGAUAUUGAUUUGAAAGGUGCAAUUGCAUCACUAAGAGAUGGACCUGCGUUGUAUUAGCUAGUUGGUGAGGUAACGGCUCACCAAGGCAACGAUACAUAGCCGACCUGAGAGGGUGAUCGGCCACACUGGGACUGAGACACGGCCCAGACUCCUACGGGAGGCAGCAGUAGGGAAUCUUCGGCAAUGGGGGCAACCCUGACCGAGCAACGCCGCGUGAGUGAAGAAGGUUUUCGGAUCGUAAAGCUCUGUUGUAAGUCAAGAACGAGUGUGAGAGUGGAAAGUUCACACUGUGACGGUAGCUUACCAGAAAGGGACGGCUAACUACGUGCCAGCAGCCGCGGUAAUACGUAGGUCCCGAGCGUUGUCCGGAUUUAUUGGGCGUAAAGCGAGCGCAGGCGGUUUGAUAAGUCUGAAGUUAAAGGCUGUGGCUCAACCAUAGUUCGCUUUGGAAACUGUCAAACUUGAGUGCAGAAGGGGAGAGUGGAAUUCCAUGUGUAGCGGUGAAAUGCGUAGAUAUAUGGAGGAACACCGGUGGCGAAAGCGGCUCUCUGGUCUGUAACUGACGCUGAGGCUCGAAAGCGUGGGGAGCGAACAGG